UACGAAGGGGGCUAGCGUUGCUCGGAAUCACUGGGCGUAAAGGGUGCGUAGGCGGGUCUUUAAGUCAGGGGUGAAAUCCUGGAGCUCAACUCUAGAACUGCCUUUGAUACUGAAGAUCUUGAGUUCGGGAGAGGUGAGUGGAACUGCGAGUGUAGAGGUGAAAUUCGUAGAUAUUCGCAAGAACACCAGUGGCGAAGGCGGCUCACUGGCCCGAUACUGACGCUGAGGCACGAAAGCGUGGGGAGCAAACAGG
Molecule: ribosomal RNA, 253 nt
Filed under: uncultured bacterium
Lineage: Bacteria
Description: partial 16S ribosomal RNA
Rfam family: Bacterial small subunit ribosomal RNA
Source: RNAcentral